ACUAUUUUGGCAGAUUAGUGUAAUAAAUUUAGAAUUUAUUUAAGUAUAAGUAAUCUUAUACAUAUAGUA
RNAcentral lists this transfer RNA (69 nucleotides) under Abia niui. Its description in RNAcentral is "tRNA-Leu". The record is from RNAcentral. Lineage: Eukaryota; Metazoa; Arthropoda; Insecta; Hymenoptera; Cimbicidae.